Molecule: ribosomal RNA, 497 nt
Filed under: uncultured bacterium
Lineage: Bacteria
Description: partial 16S ribosomal RNA
Rfam family: Bacterial small subunit ribosomal RNA
Source: RNAcentral
GAUGAACGCUGGCGGCGUGCCUAAUACAUGCAAGUCGAGCGGACGGACGCGGCUCUUGCUUCUCUGAUGUUAGCGGCAGACGGGUGAAUCACACGUGGAUCCCCUCCCUAUAAGACUGGGAUCACUUCGGAAAACCGGAUCUAAUACCGGAUGAUAUUUUGCACCACGUUGGUCAAAGGUAAAAGACGGUCGUUCGGUCACGUAUCGAGGGUUCCCAGCUGCAUUAGCUAGUUGGUAAGGUAACGGCUUACCAAGGCAAGGAUGCAUGGCCGACCUGCGAGGGUGAUCGGCCACACUGGAACUGAGACACGGUCCAGACUCCUACGGGAGGCAGCAGUAGGGAAUCUUACGCAAUGGGCGAAAGCCUGACGGAGCAACGCCGCGUGAGUGAUGAAGGUCUUCGGAUCGUAAAACUCUGUUAUUAGGGAAGAACAGAUGUGUAAGGAACUGUGCACAGCGUGACGGUACCUAAUCAGAAAGCCACGGCUAACUACGUG